GUCGGCCUUGUGAAAAAAAAAAAAAAAAAAUUACGCAUCUUGUCUAGGAUUUAUAAAUCAAGUGUAAACUUACGUUGAACAAAUACAGAAAUAUUUAAUUCCCAGACGCAAGCCCUGAAAUAAUAUUGUAACAGAUCAUGGCCAUGAUCAGGUACAUCAAGGCGGAGUCUACAUCCGGGAAUCUCUGAAUGCCACGAAGAACACGAUGUACUCUAUCUAUUUGGAUGACCUACUGGAGGUGUUGGACUUAAAACGCGUCGUCAUGAAGAUCGACGUAGAGAGACACGAGGCCAAGAUUCUGGAAAAGGCUGACGAAUUCUUCAAGAAAGUAGACGUCACAUGCGUUAUGAUGGAAUGGGAACGCCAUCCCAGAAACCCGGAUGCAUAUCAAAUGAUGGUCUUCAUGGCCAGACAUCAUAUACUGGGAUUUGACCCCCAGGACUUCAGCAAGUCGCUAGAUGCUUUCACCUUCGCCAAAUGGCCCCGAAACGUCAUGUGGCGUAAGGUUCGCGACUAUGGACUGUGGACAGCUAGAUAUGAAAUUAAUAGUGUGUUUGUGAGUGGGCAUACUGGAAUAUAUAUCUUUCCUAUUUUCUCAAUCGA
This 603-nucleotide unclassified non-coding RNA is filed under the name Gigantopelta aegis. Its description in RNAcentral is "uncharacterized LOC121367369, transcript variant X2". Lineage: Eukaryota; Metazoa; Mollusca; Gastropoda; Neomphalida; Peltospiridae. The record is from RNAcentral.